CCGUGGGACACCCUUCCCCAACGAAGGGCGAUUAUCUGAGAGGAUAGCAGAA
Regulatory RNA element from Sulfitobacter sp., 52 nucleotides. It matches the Rfam family "serC leader". Rfam says of the family: This family is a putative regulatory RNA structure that is found upstream of the serC-serA operon in some alpha-proteobacteria. Lineage: Bacteria; Pseudomonadati; Pseudomonadota; Alphaproteobacteria; Rhodobacterales; Roseobacteraceae. The record is from Rfam.